UACGGAGGGUGCAAGCGUUAUCCGGAUUCACUGGGUUUAAAGGGUGCGUAGGAGGGCAGGUAAGUCAGUGGUGAAAUCCCCGAGCUUAACUUGGGAACUGCCGUUGAUACUAUCUGUCUUGAAUGCUGUGGAGGUGAGCGGAAUAUGUCAUGUAGCGGUGAAAUGCUUAGAUAUGACAUAGAACACCAAUUGCGAAGGCAGCCCGCUACACAGUUAUUGACUCUGAGGCACGAAAGCGUGGGGAUCAAACAGG
Molecule: ribosomal RNA, 253 nt
Filed under: uncultured bacterium
Lineage: Bacteria
Description: partial 16S ribosomal RNA
Rfam family: Bacterial small subunit ribosomal RNA
Source: RNAcentral